UGAAGGCUUAUGAUAAACAUACAUAAUAUAAAGUGGUUCUGUAUGUACAUACAUGUAAUUUAGGUGGCUCUCGUACCUUUAUGGGGAUGAUUUCUAUCGCAUGAGACUCGUGUAUUAAUGCAAGCAAGGAUCAGUAGAUCAUUUGGGUGCCGAUAAUAACUUGGAUACUUUCUACCGAUCUAUCUUUGUAACAGCAUCAGCCAUAUUCCAGCAUAGUUCUCCCUCAAGGAGAGAUGCCACAGUGGGUCAUUCCUAUUGAAGAGGAUUCUAUAUCUCUCAUGGUUUCAAAGGACUUAUUUGACAAGAUUCUUGGAUUGGCAUUUUGUGUUGUUCUUGAUAAAGUUGAAUCUGGAAAUGAGAUUUUAGUACAUGUCGAUGGUGAAAGGCAGAGUAAUAUAUCGGAACAUUUCCCCUAUCCAUUGCAUUCGGAACAUAUCGUUCUUCAUUAUAUCCUACCAUAUGUGUUGUGGGGAGCAGUUGAUUUUGGUCAAAUUGAUGGGAAAUAUGCAAAGUUUAGCCUUACCAAAUCGAUAAAAGUGAAAAGGUGGGGACUUCGAAUAAUAUGCAAGCAAUUAGGGGACGAUUUAAAGGUCGAGCUUCAAGAUAAUCAGCUGAUAAAUCCAGCUUUACUCUACGAAGUUGGUCAUGAAUCAAUAGACUCACCAGUGGGGAGUUCAUUUAUGCACGAAGAUAAUUCGAGUGGAGCAAAUCGACAGGAGGACUUGCAAGAUGGUCAAAUGAGUAUCGAGGAACAUAGUCAUAUAGGAUCAAAGAGAAAUCACGAAUUUAUUCUCACUCAAGGCAUGCGAACCAAGACUUUGUUGACUUCCAAUUUGACCAGGCAGAAAUGAGAAAGGUGGUGUUGGCUUGCAGCUUUUGUUGUUAGAAUGAUGGGAACUUGCUAAGGAAGCAAUUGGUAGAUAGAGAGGAGCUCGACUUACUGCUACUUCUUAACUUAAUAUCGAGAAAACGAGUUCGAAGGUUGUGGCCGGAGAGUUAGAUGAGGGGAGGGGGGCUUGGGAUGUGCAUUUUGAUGCUGGUAGGAGAAACAAUUUUGGAAGAGAAAGAUACAACUUCCAUGGAUUAUAGAGGACGAAGGCACAUUACAGAAGAGAGAGACGCACGCACCCACGAGCACUCUCCCGAUCUCCGACGAAAUGGAAGAAGAAGAAGAUGUUCGUCUUCCUGAAACGGAGUCCCUAUUGAACUUGACGGCGACGGAGACCGGCCGGCGGAGGCGACGGACUACCACCGCCGACCGAAGCCAUGGAAACUGAUGACGAUUCUCUCCUGAGGUUCGUUCUGGGCUUCGUGCAGCUUGCUAUAGAUCAGGUUAUUGACGUUACGCGCUGCAAAAUCAGCGACGAUCUCUGGAAGACAUUGCAUUUUUAAUAUAAGGCAAAGCUUGCUUUGGACAGCCUCAAAGUUCCAGUUGGGUAAGGAACUGAUUUUCAAUAACCAGCUGUGUGAUUGGUGAGAAACGGUGCCUUAUUGCAGCAGGAAGAAACAGGACUAAUGAGAAACGGAAUGCAAACAAGAUGUGCAGAAAUGGAAGCUCUUGAUGCUCUUCUUGAACAGUGGCAGAGGAUUGGAUUUUUGUUUGCAGAAGUUGCAGAGAAGUAUUCAACAUGCUCCCUUUAUGUGACCUGAACUAUGCAUAAUGUGUGCAGCAGCAUCAUCAAUCAUUGGUAUGAAGGAAGUGUAUUAUGACUGUGCAAAUGAUAAAUGUGGAGGCUGCAGCUCAAUACUGUUGUUGCAUCAAGCAGCUCCAAGGAAUGAAUUAGUAAUGGAAAUUCUGGAUCGAAGGGUUUCUAAUGUUGUGGAGGUAUAAUGGCAUCGGAAGCAAUUUCUCUUCUGCGAGAUUUUUAUGAACAAGGAAACCCUAAUGCUCCAAAGUCUCUCAAGUCAUGGGUUACUCAGGCUUCUCAUUAGAUCUGCGUGGAUUGAUUCUUCCUGUUGAAUCUUCUUAUGGCUUUGUAUGACUAGGGGAUGGAGUUUGACAUCUUGCACUGACAAUGCAUGUGCCAUUGACUGCUUUUCCAAUCACAGAAUUUCAUCAAGGGACCUGUGGAAGGAAGCGUGAUACUUGUCCAUGUCAGUUUGUGCCAGGAUGUUCAUGUGUUUACAGAGGGUUGCAGUUGUGAUUGGAAGUCCAUUUCAUGCUUUAACUUGAUUAUAAGAUUGUUAAGAUAAGUUACGGCAUCAACUGUGUAGGCAUCACUUUUCUGGUGCUAAUUUUUGUCAUCAUUGUAUUUUGUAAUCUGGCAUAUCUUUUUACGACUUUUUUGAACUUUGAGUUAUUCGAGGUGUGCUAUUGAUGUCUCUGAGCUCCAGAGUUUUAAACCAAAUCAUGUGUCAUCCCUAAUGACGAUAAAGAGGACAAUGAUUUGCAUGUGUUUCAUGUAGAUUCCCUGGCAAAGAAUUGGAAUUGGUGGAUUUAACGUUCCUGAUUAUACCAAUUAUCUCGUAGAUACUCGAAUUUAUAA
RNA transcript from Eucalyptus grandis, 2486 nucleotides. It is a transcript of the gene named tRNA-specific adenosine deaminase TAD2, with no coding region annotated. The transcript has 11 exons. The record is from RefSeq and is a predicted model, not a curated record. NCBI's taxonomy places the organism in Eukaryota, Viridiplantae, Streptophyta, Magnoliopsida, Myrtales, Myrtaceae.